Molecule: ribosomal RNA, 133 nt
Filed under: Lecanora atra var. calcarea
Lineage: Eukaryota; Fungi; Ascomycota; Lecanoromycetes; Lecanorales; Lecanoraceae
Also listed under: 6 other names
Description: Tephromela atra var. calcarea 5.8S ribosomal RNA
Rfam family: 5.8S ribosomal RNA
About the family: 5.8S ribosomal RNA (5.8S rRNA) is a component of the large subunit of the eukaryotic ribosome.
Source: RNAcentral
CUUUCAACAACGGAUCUCUUGGUUCCAGCAUCGAUGAAGAACGCAGCGAAAUGCGAUAAGUAAUGUGAAUUGCAGAAUUCAGUGAAUCAUCGAAUCUUUGAACGCACAUUGCGCCCCUCGGUAUUCCGGGGGG